GGAGUCUGGGCCGUAUCUCAGUCCCAGUGUGGCCGGACACCCUCUCAGGCCGGCUACCCGUCGUCGCCUUGGUGAGCCGUUACCUCGCCAACUAGCUGAUAGGGCACGAGCACCUCCUAUGGCGCAUUGCUGCUUUAACCUCUCGGCCUAUGGGGUAUUAGCGUUCAUUUCUAAACGUUGUCCCCCACCACAGGACAGCUUCUCAUGUUGUACUCACCCGUCCGCUGCUCCGCUCGCGCCUUCCAUGUCGCCACUUCAGACGCGUCGUCGCCCAACUUGCAUGUGUUACGCACGCCGCCAGCGUUCAUC
RNAcentral lists this ribosomal RNA (309 nucleotides) under uncultured Synergistales bacterium. RNAcentral's name for it is "partial 16S ribosomal RNA". The record is from RNAcentral. Lineage: Bacteria; Thermotogati; Synergistota; Synergistia; Synergistales.